This 98-nucleotide small nuclear RNA is filed under the name Sus scrofa (pig). Lineage: Eukaryota; Metazoa; Chordata; Mammalia; Artiodactyla; Suidae. The record is from RNAcentral.
UUUUUUUUUUUGGCACAUAUACUAAAAUUGGAAUAAUAUGGAGAAGAUUAGCAUGCCCCCUGGAUGACAGGCAAAUUCAUGAAAUUGUCCAUACUUUC